Peromyscus eremicus (cactus mouse) is the source of this 451-nucleotide long non-coding RNA. RefSeq lists it as uncharacterized. The record is from RefSeq and is a predicted model, not a curated record. The transcript has 2 exons. Lineage: Eukaryota; Metazoa; Chordata; Mammalia; Rodentia; Cricetidae.
UCAGUGCUGUCUUGGGUCUACCAGGUGGACCAACUGCAGUGCAGCCGCAGCCCUUCCCAUCCCUUGACAAAGAGGAUGGCGAACUUGAGCUGAUUCUUAGAUCUCUCUUCACUCCUCGGGGACACCUGAGAUUGGAGUCUGAUCCCGGUUUAUUGUUUUAAUUUUUUAUUUUUCUCUCGGCUACAGCCAUGAGACAAAGGAGCAGAUACGACACAUUUACCACCUACAUUGGCAGAUAGGGGCGGGCACAGUGUAAACCUGGCUGCAUAACAGCAUCGUGGGAACUUCUGCCAGCAAACGGGCAACAUCUUGUCAAACAGAAAGUUCACAGCCACAGCCAAGAGGGAUACAUGUCUCCAGAGCAAACGGAUGACAGACAGCAUCCCACAACGCCUGUCUAUCUCGGAAGACUCCUCUUCUCCAUUCCCCCAAGAGCCAACCGACGUCAAAA